GUUAACCCCUCAAAACUCUUAGGGAAAACAUGGGAGGACAAAAAAUUGGAAUUAUGGUUAUUCUUCUAUGCGGUGCAAUUCUAUUGGGAUCAGUUAAUCCAACAAAUGCAUGCCCACAAUAUUGCUUGGACUACGCGUAUAUGACUUGCCCAUCAUCAGGUAGCCAGAAGCUUGAUCCGGCCUGCAACUGCUGUUUAGCUCAAGGCUGCACCCUCUACCUCGCUGAUGGAACUUCAACUUAUUGCGAUUGAUGGAGCUUACAAUUAAUUUGCAUGCUCUUUACAAUCUUAAAUAUGUAUGUUUGCAAAUAAUGAGAUUGGAUUUGCAACAAUAAUAAAUUAUAAUAAUAAAACAAUAGAGACUUAUUGUCUCUAUAUUCUCUUA
Quercus lobata is the source of this 384-nucleotide long non-coding RNA. RefSeq lists it as uncharacterized. The record is from RefSeq and is a predicted model, not a curated record. Lineage: Eukaryota; Viridiplantae; Streptophyta; Magnoliopsida; Fagales; Fagaceae. The transcript is spliced from 2 exons.